Molecule: long non-coding RNA, 3943 nt
Filed under: Homo sapiens (human)
Lineage: Eukaryota; Metazoa; Chordata; Mammalia; Primates; Hominidae
Description: non-protein coding LINC00304:1
Source: RNAcentral
GCUCAUUGACCAGAAACUGCAGAGAGCCUGGAGCUCGUUGACCACAAACUACAGAAAGCCUGGAGCUCGUUGACCAGCCGGUUGACCAGAAUACGGUGCUCCAAGGACAUGCGGUUGAAUGCCGUGUUCUAAAGUCACGAGUGACUCUCCAGCUGGUCCCUGUGCCAGGCUGGUCGGCCUUCGUGCACACAGUCCGCCAGUGCCCAGCCAGGCCCCUGGUUCCCCUCUGCUCCACCAGCCGAGAACAAGCCCGUCCUGGAGGGAACUCAUCCUCUCCUCCCUCCCCAUUAAAGCCCAGUUUAUUCCCCAUCUUGGCCUCUGGUGCUGACCUGGCCUCUGGAGACACAGGCCGGGGGGUGCUGUUUGCGAACUCACCGUGACUGAGCUCCAUGAGGAUACCACAGUCCCACGUGGCUGGCAGCGCCCACCCCACACACCCUGCCCCUUGCUGGGCGGCCCCAUGCCACAAAAGUUAGACCCAGGAGCAGGUGCCCUGGGAGCAGGCUGCCACCAGCUGGGUCAGAAGCCCCUCUACAUGCCUGGUGCUUUUGACCUCCUAGGGAGGCUGGCUUGAAUCUGGAAAGUCACCAGUUCUGACCCCAGCCAGACACAGGGGUGCUGCCAGGAGCUGCUCCCAGGCGGGUGGCCCAGCUUCUCUCAGGCACCAGGGGAUGGCAGGACUCCUGGUGACCAGCUGGUCCCCAAAGCCGUGGCACCGCGCCUGCUGCUGCCAGCAAAGUCCCACACACAGCCUGUGGCAGGUGCCGCCCCAUUCUUUCUGCCCCUCCCUCAUCAGGGGCCAGGGUGAAGCCCCUGCCGCCCUCUGCCUUCCCUCCACCUGCGGCUUCCCUGGCAGGGAGACCAUGGACCCAGCUCCUGCCUCCUCCAUUCGUUUAACAGAUAGGGCCCAGGCCAGCAGCCCAGGCAUUAGGCUGGCCGGUCCACUGAGGCCUAGACAGGCCAGGCCUGAGGCAGCUCAGGAGUGCCAAGCUGGCCCCACGUUCCCACCCAACAGCGGCCCUUGGGGCUGCCUUCCUGCCAGGUGUCCAGGCCCAACACACAAGACCUGAGCCUGCUCUGCCUCAGUUUCCCUACUCUGUGAACUGCGGCUGCUGCUCUCUCGGGGCCCUUCUAGCCCUGGCCAAGGGGUGGGGGCUUUGUUCCCUCGGGCGUCCUGUCCCUGGGGACUGGCCACACACACACCACACACUGCCCUCCCACCUGGACUCUGUCCCAGCGGCACCAGGGUCAGGAGCAGGAGCCUCAGGACCCACGCAGCACCAGGCACAGCACGGAGUGAGGCAGUGGGCGGUGUGGCAAGCGCUGUGUGCACCACUAACCUGGAGGAGCCACGGCUCCCGGACCCUCGUGUCAAAGCUGCCGGCCUCCUUUGCUGGGAGCCUGAGAGGAGGUCCUGGUGCAGAACAGCAGCUUGUUGCCAGCCACAGUGAGAAGGUGGUGAGUGUGCCAGCCACUGAGUUAACCAUCAGUAACAGGAGGCGUGUGCAGACAGGUGUGGACCACAGGUAUGUAUGUCACAUGCCUGCAUACGUCACAUGUAUGUGUAUCUCACACGCCUGCAUACACCACAGGUAUGUAUGUCACACGCCUGCAUAUGUCACAUGUAUGUGUCUCACGCCUGCAUAAGUCACAUGCAUGUGUGUCUCACGCCUGCAUACACCACAGGUAUGUAUGUCUCACGCCUGCAUGUCACAUGUAUGUAUCUCACACGCCUGCAUGUCACAUGUAUGUGUAUCUCACAUGCCUGCAUAUGUCACAUGUAUGUGUAUCUCACACGCCUGCAUACACCACAGGUAUGUAUGUCUCACGCCUGCAUAUGUCACAUGUAUGUGUGUCUCACACGCCUGCAUAAGUCACAUGCAUGUGUGUCUCACACGCCUGCAUACACCACAGGUAUGUAAGUCACACGCCUGCAUGUCACAUGUGUCUCACACGCCUACAUGUGUCACAUGUAUGUGUAUCUCACACGCCUGCAUACACCACAGGGAUGUAUGUCUCACGCCUGCAUAUGUCACAUGUAUGUGUAUCUCACAUGCCUGCAUGUCACAUGUAUGUGUCUCACACGCCUGCAUACACCACAGGUAUGCAUGUCUCACGCCUGCAUAUGUCACAUGUAUGUGUAUCUCACACGCCUGCAUGUCACACGUAUAUGUCACACGCCUGCAUAUGUCACAUGUAUGUGUAUCACACACCUGCAUACACCACAGGUAUGUAUGUCACGCCUGCAUAUGUCACAUGUAUGUGUGUCUCACACGCCUGCAUAUGUCACAUGUAUGUGUCUCACACGCCUGCAUAAGUCACAUGUAUGUGUCUCACACCUGCAUACACCACAGGUAUGUAUGUCUCACGCCUGCAUAUGUCACAUGUAUGUGUAUCUCACACGCCUGCAUAUGUCACAUGUAUGUGUAUCUCACACGCCUGCAUACACCACAGGUAUGUAUGUCUCACGCCUGCAUAUGUCACAUGUAUGUGUAUCUCACACGCCUGCAUACACCACAGGUAUGUAUGUCUCACACACGCCUGCAUAUAUCACAUGUAUAUGUGUCACACAUGCCUGCAUACACCACAUGUAUGUCACACACAUCUGCAUAUAUCACUUGUAUGUGUCUCACACACCUGCAUACACAUAUAUGCCUCACACGCCUGCAUCUAUCAUGUGUGUGUCUCACACACCUGCAUAUAUCACAUGUAUGUGUCUCACAGCUGCAUACACCACAGGUAUGUGUCUCACACACGCCUGCAUAUAUCACAUGUAUGUGUAUCUCACACGCCUGCAUAUGUCACAUGUAUGUGUAUCUCACACGCCUGCGUAUAUCACAUGUAUGUGUGUGUCACACACACACCUGCAUACAUACAGGCACAUGGACACCUGUGUGCACACCAGUCCCUCCCUUCCCCGUCACCAUCAGGUUCAGCCGGGCCUGUGGUCACUGCUUCCCCGAGGCAGCUGCAAUGGGGCCCCGGCUCCCCCUACAUGGUGCGUCUGAUCAGGUUGGGACUCGCUCAGGUAGCUCUCAUCACAAGGUCCUUGUGCACUGUUGCGGCUGCUCUUGGUGGCCCUUCUAGAGCCUUCCUGAGCCAGAGCAGACUCCUGCUCCCCCCAGACCCCCUGGGAGUCGAUUCUGUCCCCUUCUUCCUGGCCGCAGGUCGGUGCAGCCGCUUUCCUGCCUGGAAGAGUAAAGUGGACCCUGUGUGAAAACAUUGACGACGUGGCAAAUGAGCAGCAAAUUGAUCAAUACGAAUGAUCACGCCCCAUGUGCAUCUCCUCAGCAGCCACAAGAGAGACGAGGUCACUGGAGGAUAAACAUCCGUGACUGCACCUCAUGAUCCAUCACGCACGACGGCCGCAGCAUCUCCUGCCAGCUGCCGGCACAGACAAGAGCACGGGAUGGACGACCGCGGUAGCAACGUGGGGCUCAUCUGCCUCUCUCUGAGCAGGAAGCCCGUCACUCUGUGCGGUGUGCACUGACCCCAGCCAGUGGAUGUUCCCCGUCCAAGAGCAAAGCUACAGUCGGCUGCAGGUGCAGUGACUUUUGCACAGUGGAAGAAUUUCUCCAGAAGAUAUUCCUGCAGGUGGAAUCACUGGAUCGUAGGCCCAGAUGUCUUCCACUUACUUGAUUUUGCCUGAUGCCUUCCAAGGAGGCUGUGCACAGCAGGUGUGAGAUGCCCCAUCUCACCAACCGGCCAACAUCCCGAUGGGAGAUGUUGAGUUUUCACCACGCUGCUGAGUGUGACGUGGAAUCUUCUUAUUUUAGCUUGCAUUUCCCUGAUUACAAGUCAGGUGGAACAUCUCGAAUAUGUUUCUGGGCCAUUUGAUUUUCCUGCAAGUCACCUGUUCCAGUUCUUUGCCCAUUUCCUGUUGGGUUGGUCAAUAUUUUUUGUGAUUACACGUUGGAUACGUGGCUGGCCUUUGGCUUGCCUU